This is a long non-coding RNA of Tachysurus vachellii, 1882 nucleotides long. RefSeq lists it as uncharacterized. The record is from RefSeq and is a predicted model, not a curated record. NCBI's taxonomy places the organism in Eukaryota, Metazoa, Chordata, Actinopteri, Siluriformes, Bagridae. The transcript is spliced from 3 exons.
AAUGCUAAAAUUAAAAUGAGUUAAAAGUUAAUUGUCAGAAAAAAUAAUCUGAAUAUCAAACACUGGAUCAUCAUUAACUUGAAAUCUUAGCAUGUCUUUGACUGCUAAAAAAUGUUUUUUCUUUGUUUUCAGUAUGCCACGAGAAAGGAAACACAUGAAGGACUUUGCCAUUUGCCACACAACCCUCUAUCGAUUUAUUGACAAAAGAGAGAAACUAGGCCCAGGAGACGAGGCAUCAGCAGGGUACUGGACUCACAGGAGGUUCUUUUCUAAACAGCAAGAAAAGGUCCUUGCAGAAUACCUAAAAACUGCAUCUGAUCUAUUCUAUGGUCAGAGCACCAAAGAGGUUUGUCAGUUUUCCUUCCUGCUGGCUGUGCAUUAUCAUUGUAAUUAUCCUGAAACCUGGAAUGACAGCUCCAUGGCCAGUCGUGACUGUUUAUUGGCUUUUAUGAAGAGGUAGUUCUGUCUUCCCAUACAGCACCCGUAACCUACAGUACCCAUAACAUACAGUAACCUACCUGCUCAUCCAGAUCCAUAAAUUUUAACGGAUGUUUUCCAGUUUUUUUUGACAAUCUUUGCAAGGUACUAGUUAACAACGCAUGUCAGAGCACAAACCAAGCCAUGAAGUCCAAGGAAUUGUCUGUAGACCUCUGAGACAGGAUUGUAUUGAGGCACAGAAAAAAUUCUGCAGCAUUGAAGGUCCUAAUCAGCACAGUGGCCUCCAUCAUCCGUAUAUGGAAGAAGUUUGAAACCACCAGAACUGUUCCUGCGGGCCGCCCAGCCAAACUGAGCGAUCUGGGAGAAGGGUCUUAGUCAAGGAGGUGACCAAUAACCCGACGGUCAUUCUGACAGAGCUCCAGCUUUUCUCUGUGUAGAGGAGAACCUUCCAGAAGAAAAACCAUCUCUGCAGCACUCCACCAAUCAAGCCUGUAUGGUAAAGUGGCCAGACAGAAGCCUCACCUCAGUAAAAAGCACAUUGAUGGCCCACCUGGAGUUUGCCAAAAGGCACCGAAAGGACUCUCAGACAAUGAGAAGCAAUAUUCUAUGGUCUGAUGAUACAAGAUUGAACACUUUAUCAUGAAAAGCAAGUGCCAUGUCUGGAGGAAACCAGGCACUGUUUAUCACCUGGCCAAUGCCAUCACUGAUGUUUUUCAGUGGCGGGAACUGGGAGACUUGUCAGGAUCAAGGGAAAGAUGAAUACAGCAAUGUACAGAGACAUCCUUGAUGAAAUCCUGCUCCAGAGAGCUCUGGACCUCAGACUAGGGCGGAGGUUCAUCUUCCAACAGGAGGACAACAACCCUGAACACACAGCCAAGAUAACAAAGAAAAGGCAACGGGACAUCUUGGUGAAUGUCCUUGAGUGGCCCAGCCAGAGCCCAGACUUUGGAACCGAUUGAACAUGUCUGGAAAGAUCUGAAAAUGGCUGUGCCCCAAGGCUCACCAUCCAGCCUGAAGGACCUUGAGGGGUCCUGCAAAGAAUAAUGAGAGAAAAUACUCAAAAAGACUUGAGGCCAAAGGUGCUUCAACAAAGUAAUGGGCAAUUUGUAUUUUUAAUAAAUCUGCAAAGAUUUCAAACAAACUUCUUUCACGUUGUCAUUAUGGGGUAUUGUUUGUAGAAUUUAAUCCAUUUUGGAAUAAGGCUGUAACAUGGCAAAAUGUUGAAAAAGUGAAGCACUGUGUAUACUUUCCGGAAGCACUGUAGAUAGAGAGAUGGAUGGUGUUUGGUGCACUGAAAGCUCAAGAAAUUUCAAUUCAAUUCGCUUCAGUUUAUUUGUAUAGCGCAGAGGUAUUCAACUAAAAUUUAAAGAGGUCCAGUAAGAGAAAGUUUCUUGAAGCAAAGGUCCGGAAGAUCAUAAUGUCUAACUAGUUAGUGUGAUAUAUA